AGAGUUUGAUCCUGGCUCAGGACUAACGCUGGCGGCAUGCAUCAUACAUGCAAGUCGAACGAGGUGUAUUGGGCAACUGAUGCAUCUAGUGGCGCACGGGUGAGUAACACGUAGAUAACCUGCCCCUAAGACUGGGAUAACGGCUCGAAAGGGUCGCUAAGACUGGAUAAGCCCCCGGGUCGAGAGACUUGCGGGAAAAACAGGGUUUCGGCUCUGGCUUUAGGAUGGGUCUGCGGACUAUCAGCUAGUUGGUGGGGUAACGGCCUACCAAGGCGAUGACGGUUAUCCGGCUUGAGAGAGUGUACGGACACACUGGAACUGAGACACGGUCCAGACUCCUACGGGAGGCAGCAGUAGGGAAUUUUCCGCAAUGGGCGCAAGCCUGACGGAGCAAUGCCGCGUGAGGGAAGAAGGUCUUCGGAUCGUAAACCUCUUUCGUUUGGGAAGAAACGGUUGGGCAAGAAACGGUCUAGCCGAGACGGUACUGAAGGAAGAAGCCCCGGCUAAUUACGUGCCAGCAGCCGCGGUAAUACGUAAGGGGCAAGCGUUGUCCGGAAUCACUGGGCGUAAAGGGCGCGUAGGCGGUUCGAUAAGUUGGGAGUGAAAGCACUGGGCCUAACCCAGUAAUGGCUCUCGAGACUGUCGGGCUAGAGGGUCCUAGGGGAUUGUGGAAUUCCAGGUGUAGCGGUGAAAUGCGUAGAUAUCUGGGAGAACACCCGUGGCGAAGGCGGCAAUCUGGGGGACACCUGACGCUGAGGCGCGAAAGCUAGGGGAGCGAACGGGAUUAGAUACCCCGGUAGUCCUAGCCCUAAACUAUGAGUACUAGGUGUUGGGGGUCAAACCUCGGUGCCGGCGCUAACGCAUUAAGUACUCCGCCUGGGGACUACGGUCGCAAGACUAAAACUCAAAGGAAUUGACGGGGGCCCGCACAAGCGGUGGAGCAUGUGGUUCAAUUCGAUGCAACACGAAAAACCUUACCUGGGUUUGACAUCCCGUGUGACCUUGCAGAGAUGCUUGGGAUAGGAGCAAUCCUUACGCGGUGACAGGUGGUGCAUGGCUGUCGUCAGCUCGUGUCGUGAGAUGUUGGGUUAAGUCCCGCAACGAGCGCAACCCCUGCGGUUAGUUACCAUCAUUAAGUUGGGGACUCUAGCCGGACGGUCGGCCAUAAGCCGAAGGAAGGUGGGGAUGACGUCAAGUCAGCAUGCCCCUUAUACCCAGGGCUACACACGUGCUACAAUGGACGGCACAAAGGGCUGCAAACUCGCGAGAGGGAGCCAAUCCCCAAAGCUGUCCCAAGUUCAGAUUGCAGGCUGCAACUCGCCUGCAUGAAGGCGGAAUCGCUAGUAAUCGUGGAUCAGCAUGCCACGGUGAAUACGUUCCCGGGCCUUGUACACACCGCCCGUCAUACCACCCGAGUGGAUUGCACCCGAAGUCGGCUCUCUAACCCGCAAGGGAGGAAGCUGCCGAAGGUGUGGUUCGUGAGGGGGGUGAAGUCG
Molecule: ribosomal RNA, 1496 nt
Filed under: metagenome
Description: bacterial SSU rRNA
Rfam family: Bacterial small subunit ribosomal RNA
Source: RNAcentral